GAUGAACGCUAGCGGCAGGCUUAACACAUGCAAGUCGAGGGCAGCAUAAACAUUGCUUGCAAUGUUUGAUGGCGACCGGCGCACGGGUGCGUAACGCGUAUGUAACCUACCUCAAACAGGGGCAUAACACUGAGAAAUUGGUACUAAUUCCCCCAUAACACCUGAAGGGGCAUCCUUUUGGGUUGAAAAGUUCCGGCGGUUUUGAGAUGGACAUGCGUUGUAUUAGCUAGUUGGUGAGGUAACGGCUCACCAAGGCGACGAUACAUAGGGGGACUGAGAGGUUAACCCCCCACGAUUGGUACUGAGACACGGACCAAACUCCUACGGGAGGCAGCAGUGAGGAUAUUGGUCAAUGGACGCAAGUCUGACCAGCCAUGCCGCGUG
This 384-nucleotide ribosomal RNA is filed under the name uncultured bacterium. Its description in RNAcentral is "bacterial SSU rRNA". It matches the Rfam family "Bacterial small subunit ribosomal RNA", at positions 28 to 403 of the family's 1533-position model. The record is from RNAcentral.